Molecule: long non-coding RNA, 652 nt
Organism: Cyclopterus lumpus (lumpfish)
Lineage: Eukaryota; Metazoa; Chordata; Actinopteri; Perciformes; Cyclopteridae
Exons: 10
Source: RefSeq, a predicted model, not a curated record
GAUCCGGAAGUUCUACCUCUUCCUCUCGAGACACAGCCAUGAGCAGAGUGCAGCCCUGCUCCGCUCCACGUCAAAGAGGACUGCGGCAGCUUAAUCUUCACUGCGAAGAUAUGCAGAUUAAGAUGGCACGUUUGAUCGACCACACCUGAUAAUACGAUGUGAAGUCACCACUGCCUACGACAGAUGACCACUACUGGUUUUCACCGUGUGGACCACAAGCAGCUUCAGAAGUCCUGUUGUGGUCAAAGGAGAUGCAUCUGAUCAAGAGAUGUGAAGUCACCACUGCCUACGACAGAUGGCCAACUACUGGUUUUCACCGUGUGGACCACAAGCAGCUUCAGAAGUCCUGCUGUGGUCAAAGAAGAUGCAGCUGAUUUGAUCCUCUGCUGAUCAAGAGAUGUGAAGUCACCACUGCCUACGACAGAUGGCCAACUACUGUUUUUCUCCAUGUGGACCAUAAGCAGCUUUAGAAGUCUUGUUGUGGUCAAAGGAGAUGCACCUGAGCUGAUCAAGAGUGGCUUCAGAAGUCCUGCUGUGGUCAAAGAAGAUGCAGCUGAUUUUAUCCUGUACUGAUCCGGAGAGUUGCUGGAGCUGUUGGACCAUCUGAAAAGUUAUUUGCCUUUUAUUAAUAAAAACCUUUUUUCAAGAAAGA